This 845-nucleotide ribosomal RNA is filed under the name Massilia agri. RNAcentral describes it as "bacterial SSU rRNA". It matches the Rfam family "Bacterial small subunit ribosomal RNA", at positions 147 to 986 of the family's 1533-position model. Lineage: Bacteria; Pseudomonadati; Pseudomonadota; Betaproteobacteria; Burkholderiales; Oxalobacteraceae. The record is from RNAcentral.
CGUAGCGAAAGUUACGCUAAUACCGCAUACGAUCUACGGAUGAAAGUGGGGGACCUUCGGGCCUCAUGCUUUUGGAGCGGCCGAUAUCUGAUUAGCUAGUUGGUAGGGUAAAGGCCUACCAAGGCGACGAUCAGUAGCUGGUCUGAGAGGACGACCAGCCACACUGGAACUGAGACACGGUCCAGACUCCUACGGGAGGCAGCAGUGGGGAAUUUUGGACAAUGGGCGCAAGCCUGAUCCAGCAAUGCCGCGUGAGUGAAGAAGGCCUUCGGGUUGUAAAGCUCUUUUGUCAGGGAAGAAACGGCUGCGGCUAAUAUCUGCGGCUAAUGACGGUACCUGAAGAAUAAGCACCGGCUAACUACGUGCCAGCAGCCGCGGUAAUACGUAGGGUGCAAGCGUUAAUCGGAAUUACUGGGCGUAAAGCGUGCGCAGGCGGUUUUGUAAGUCUGACGUGAAAGCCCCGGGCUCAACCUGGGAAUUGCGUUGGAGACUGCAAGGCUUGAAUCUGGCAGAGGGGGGUAGAAUUCCACGUGUAGCAGUGAAAUGCGUAGAGAUGUGGAGGAACACCGAUGGCGAAGGCAGCCCCCUGGGUCAAGAUUGACGCUCAUGCACGAAAGCGUGGGGAGCAAACAGGAUUAGAUACCCUGGUAGUCCACGCCCUAAACGAUGUCUACUAGUUGUCGGGUCUUUAAUUGACUUGGUAACGCAGCUAACGCGUGAAGUAGACCGCCUGGGGAGUACGGUCGCAAGAUUAAAACUCAAAGGAAUUGACGGGGACCCGCACAAGCGGUGGAUGAUGUGGAUUAAUUCGAUGCAACGCGAAAAACCUUACCUACUCCUUGACA